AUAUAUAUAUAUAUGUAUACAUAUUGUGUGCGGUUCUGUCAGAAUAAGAAUAUUUUCCAAGUGAAAGAUGCCAACUUGUCUCAAACAGCCAACAACACCUGAAUAAAACGUGAGCAAGAAAAAAAAAAUUGGUGUUUUUCUUUGUUUUUGUAGAAAUAAAAAUUUCAAAAUUCCCACCAAAAAUGUUAAAGAAAUAUUUUUUUAUUUUAAAUUUUUAAAAAGCUUGCAAAUCAAUUGAAUAUUUUUUUAAAGUCUUGCUUGUGCUUAUGUAUUCGGCUUUUUGCUAUAAUUGUGUGUAUGUUAUUUUACUGAUUCCACAGCCAGUAGGCUGUGGCCAUACUGGGACACACACACACACACACACACAUAUAUAGCGUCAUCAUCAUUUCAAGAUCCACUUAUCCAUGUUUACAUGAGCCAGAUGAGAUUUGUUUAGGCAGAUUGUCUGUGACUGGAUUCCUUUCCUGCCACCAACCCUCACUUGUAUUUCCGUGCAAGGCAACAUUUCACCAUGGCUGGACAUGUUUUCAUGGAAGACUGGAAACAAGAGACACCGCUUGUAUGAUGGUGACACUCAUCUCCACAACUAUCAUGCAGUGUCAAGACAAGGGGACAUUUGCACUUGUAUGUGACAAGCUUCUUCAAGUUUCCAUUUACCAAAUGUACUCUCAGACUGAACCUGAAGCCCUAUGGCUGGGAAACAAGCUUCUUAACAACACAGCCACACCUGCACACGCAUAUGUGUGUGUGUGUGUAUAUAUAUAUAUAUAUAUAUAUAUAUGUAUACACACACUCACACAUGCAUACUUGUGUUUGUGUAUGUAUAUAUAAUAUACAUAGGUCUUACUUAAGUCAGUAUAGAAAAACAGGUGUACAAUGAAUGAAUGAAUACACAAUAAUAUACAUUCAGAUAUAUAUAUAUCUUUUACUUAUUUCUGUCCUUAAACCGUUGCCAUGCUGGAGCACAUACUUAAAGGGUUUAGUCAAACAAAUUAACCUCAGUACUUAUUUUGUUUUCUAAACCUGAUACUUAUUCUAUUGGUUUCCCUUUGCUGAACUGCCAAGUUAUGAGGAUGUAAACAAGCCAACAGCAGUUACCAAGUGGUAGUGGGAGACAUACACACAUAGACACAUAUGUAUAUGAUGGCUUCAUUCAGUUUCUCUCCACCAGAUCUGCUCACAAGGUUUUGGUCUGCCUAGGGCUGUAGAAAAAGAUAGUUGCCCAAGGUACCAUGCAAUGGGACUGAACCUGGAAUCAUGUGGUUGGGAAGCACACUCCUUUAACACAGCCAUGCCUAUAUAUAUAUAUAUAUAUAUAUAUGUAUGUGUGUGUGCUGUUUGUUUGCUUCAUGCGCUUGCUUGAUGGAGCUGGGGUCAUUCCAGGUUAGUGGUCCCAGAGAUGUCAUUAUGCAUAGAGCUGAUCAGGUCCACCAGUGCUCUCUGUUGCUGGUAUCCCCAUGCCAACCCCUCUCUAUACUCCAAGGUGAUAUUGAGUCUCUGGAGACCUUCCUUAAUCAUGUCCAGCCACCUGGCAUGAGGCCUGCCAUGAAGCCUCUUCUAGCCUGCAGGUGCUGUGGUGAGUGAGAGUAAAGCCUUGAUAGGAUUAUCUAUCUAUAUAUAUUUAUAAUUUAAUAUUUUCAUUUAAUAUCUAGUCUUUUAUAAAAAUAAAGCGAAAAACCACACCACCAGUGUUAUUAUCAUCAUUAUUGCAAGCUGAAUAAUUCUGAUACAGCUUCAAAGAAUUCUACAGAAAGUUUUGGCAAAUUAUUUCCUGCAAGAGGUAAGAAGCAACAGCUUGGAAUGUGUUGGGUCUUAUCUGUUAGCCAGUUUCAAUUCACAGUGAAGCCAAUUCUCAUCAUACAAGCAGUUAAUAAGCCUUGAUAAAAGCAUGAAUAUCACAAGCUCCAUACAUCUGUAUCCACUGAAAAAUGCCAAAAAAAUAUAAAAAUGUGAAAAAAAAAAUUAAAAAGAUUAAAAAAAAAAAUAUUUUGUGUACUGCUAGAGAAAGAAAUCGCAAAAUCUUUUAUGUUUUGUAACUUUUUGUGAUUAUUUUUCAAUCAAAUUAUAUUGUUGUGGGUUGUUUUUUAUACAAACGUUUAUAUCUUUUCCUUUUAAAUUGAAAAACCUCAAUAAAGAUAUUGAUAAUAU
This 2148-nucleotide long non-coding RNA is filed under the name Octopus vulgaris (common octopus). Lineage: Eukaryota; Metazoa; Mollusca; Cephalopoda; Octopoda; Octopodidae. The record is from RNAcentral.